AUUGAACGCUGGCGGCAUGCUUUACACAUGCAAGUCGAACGGUAACAGGCCGCAAGGUGCUGACGAGUGGCGAACGGGUGAGUAAUGCAUCGGAACGUGCCCAGUCGUGGGGGAUAACUACUCGAAAGAGUAGCUAAUACCGCAUACGAUCUAUGGAUGAAAGCGGGGGACCGUAAGGCCUCGCGCGAUUGGAGCGGCCGAUGUCAGAUUAGGUAGUUGGUGGGGUAAAGGCUCACCAAGCCAACGAUCUGUAGCUGGUCUGAGAGGACGACCAGCCACACUGGGACUGAGACACGGCCCAGACUCCUACGGGAGGCAGCAGUGGGGAAUUUUGGACAAUGGGCGCAAGCCUGAUCCAGCAAUGCCGCGUGCAGGACGAAGGCCUUCGGGUUGUAAACUGCUUUUGUACGGAACGAAACGGCUCUGGUUAAUACCCGGGGCUAAUGACGGUACCGUAAGAAUAAGCACCGGCUAACUACGUG
RNAcentral lists this ribosomal RNA (482 nucleotides) under uncultured bacterium. RNAcentral describes it as "partial 16S ribosomal RNA". It matches the Rfam family "Bacterial small subunit ribosomal RNA", at positions 30 to 507 of the family's 1533-position model. The record is from RNAcentral.